Molecule: long non-coding RNA, 1898 nt
Organism: Diachasmimorpha longicaudata
Lineage: Eukaryota; Metazoa; Arthropoda; Insecta; Hymenoptera; Braconidae
Exons: 2
Source: RefSeq, a predicted model, not a curated record
UAUAUUAAACAUUUAUUUUGUUCUGAAGUUUCUCUUUCAGUUUUUAUUUUUAUUUUUGCGAAAUUUGAAUGAUUUUUUUGCUGCUUCGUCGGGAGUCAUUUGGGGGAGCAAAAUAUUUUCAUUGGCUGCGAUCUGUAUAUAUGAAUGCAUGAAAAUUAUCCUGAACAGCCAACUGAAUUUUUAAAAUAUUUUUUUCCUUCUGAAUACAAAAAAAUGUUUUGGCUAAUUUUUUAAUUUAUCCCUUGAAUUUGGAGAUUUUCAAACUUGUGCUAUACCCUCAAAAUAUAAUUUAUAUAAACGAAUUUUCAAGGAACUUUUUUCCAGACUUCUUAUAAACAUAGUACAAAUGUUUAUAUAAAAAUAGAUCGUUCAGAAAUUUUUGAAAGUUCAUUUAACAUAGUUGGAAGACAUAAAUUGAACGCAACCAAUGGAAAAUAAUGAAUCACUCAAAAAAGAAUAUCAUUAGGAUAUUCAGCUGAUGUGCAACAACUAAUACAUUUUGCUUGCGCUAAAAUCAUUUCACCUCAUAUUAAUAAAAAAAUCAUUAAACCGAGGAGCCCGACAGACUCGUCAAAAAUCGAAUCAACGAGAAUAGACCAACAUGUCGGUAAAUAAACUAGUGCGAGAAAAUAAUCUCGCAACGUACGUAUGGUAUAGUUUGGAAGAAGAACAGCUGUCCAUCCUCUGAAUAUUCAAAGGAAUCGUCGACCCUCACCGUGACACGAGAUUCUAUUAUUCACCACGAUAAAGUGUUUCAUGGCAUGAUCACGCGAAUCGUGGCCAUCGGAUGCAUAGAAAGCCUCCAGAGCUGGAUAAAAUAGUGAAUAUGGAUAAUUGAUUCUUUUAGUCAUACAAAACAAUGUGAAUUAUCCAAAUAAUUUCUAACAAUUCCAUUGAAGCUUUAUUUUGAUUUAAAAAAUAGAAAAAGAAAAGUUUAAAUAAAUCGAAAAUUUUCCUAUUCGCUUUUUGUUUUUCCAGUUAAUUGAGAAACAAUUGGAUGGGAAAUUAAACUACGGAAUAGAAAAGUAGUUGAAAGAAAUGAAUAAUUUUCGCAAAAUAUUCUUCAGCUGUGGAUGUCAACCUGUUCUCUUUCUAAAAAAACUGCCAGACGUCAUUCAAGCGCUUGUUAGCAACAUAAUCAGCCUCAGAUUAUCAUGUCCCUAAAAAGUCUCAAGAAUGUGCCACUUUGCAGCGAAACUUGUGCUUUUUUUUAUUUUCAUCAAAAGCAGCGAAUAGUUUAAAGUUAAAUUGACGUUUGCUAACUCACAAAUAAACCCCAAGAACAAGUGUUAAACUCUUGGACGUAACUCCAGACAAAAUGUUAUAUUUUUUUUUAUUUCAAGGACUUAACAAUCGAUAUCCUCACGUGACUGGUAAUAUCAGCUAUGAUUAACUACGAUUAGGAUCAGUGCGGCCGGAGUUUAAUAUAAGUUUUUCGGUGGAAAGUUUGUGGAUCAAAUCGAUAGAGCUCGAAGUUGAGAUACAUUUUUACAAUCACUGUCUAUGUUUAAACCCAUGAAUCAACAAUUUUCCAUCGAUUAUACAACACUAAAGUGAAACAGUUUGCCAUUUUCACGGGCUUAAUGCCCAGUUAUUUUCAGUGCUAUAAGUCAGAGGCUUCCGCAAAACAAUGGCGCCUGAUAAUCGCAAUGUACAAACUUGAGAUUGGAUAAACGGUGAUUGUGAUGGUGGGCAGAAGAGCAUUCCGGUGUCACACGAAAACAACUAAAAUAUACGAUCAACAUUCCACAAUACCGAGGGGAUUAUUUGAGUUAGACGAUAUUACGUUGAUAUUGCAUAAUAUCCACAAACGUUUUCAAAAGUUUAAUGAUAAUCGAAUAGAAUGAGAACAGGGGACUCUUUGUAAAACACUCAAUAAACGAUUCUUUUUUCAUUGA